CAAAUGACAAGGUGGUGAUGACCCGUGACUCUGUUGUGAUGCAGUGAUUGUUGGGUCAGCCCCCAGGGGCUGCAGCAUUUCACACCAGGCUGUCGCCCAGAGCACAUGGCUGCUGCCUGUGGGUCUGAGUACAGGGAUCAGGGUGAUGGAGCAGGGCCUUUGGGACCAACCUGCUUCCAUUGCUAAAGAACGGAACGUGAGACACAGAAGGAUGAAGGAAAGUAUUCUUGUCCAACUGCAACGUAAUCUCUUAUUUCUGUUGAUUUGAUCACUGCAGCUUGUCUGUCAGAAGUAGUAAGAGAACCUGUUCCUAUCAAGAGGUAAGGAAUGCACCUUCUCCUAGCAAUGGAGUGGAAACUAACCAAUCUGAGUGUACUUUCAGGUGAAGAAAGUGAAUCUAUCCUUUGCUGUCAAAGGCUACAAGCAGUUUCAUAAGAAUAAAGCAAGAUACAUAACCAAAGCUUCUGAGAGGUUACAGAAGUAUUGACUUGCUCUAGCCAAGAAUAAGGAAACCACUUAUACCUACCAGAUUAACAAUACAGCUGAUUGUAUGGAGAGAAAGAGAGAAACCAAUCCAGCAAUUCAUCACGCAGAAGAAGGUCAUAUUUCAAGAUGCAAGGAUGACACAUGGCUGUAGUUUACAGGAAGGAAUUAGCUGAUCCAUCCUUUUAAGGAGAUGAGAGAAAUGCAGAUGAGUUGAACGUUGAGGGUGUGAAAUCAUCAGGAAGUUGCUAGAAGAUCUGGGAUAUCUACAGAAAGGAAACAAGCAAAACUCGUCACUGUUACCAAGAGGAGGAGAGUUACAGAUGCUCAGGAUUUGAGUACAAAGGAAUAGGAAUGGAGCUGAACAGAUUCAACACCUGAAAGGACGAUUGGAUCUCAAAAUAUGAAUGACCCUUCAUUCAAUAAAGCAACAGGAUUGGCUCUGAGGAGAGGUAAGCAGCAUUUGGAAAGAGCCAGCGUGGACAAUAUUCAAGACACAAUAUUCAAAAGUUGCUGCUGGGAUGGAAGUAAAGAAGAAAGCCCUGGAGAUGGGUUAGUGCUGGGACACAGACUAUCCUGGAGGGGCCUGGGACAGGGUAUGUAACCAUAGCGACCAGCGGGUCCUUUCCCCACUGUGGUCCUGGCUCGCAUGCACAGGGUGAAACCGAUCGCCAUGUUUGGGGUCAAGAAGGAAUUUUCCUCCAGGGCAGAUUGGCCAGAGACCCUGGAGGUUUUUCGCCUUCCUCUGGGGCAUCGAGCAGGGACCAGCCCUUAGGGCCAUUUAGGAACAGACAUAAUAAAAUCCAUCAGAGAGAA
Long non-coding RNA from Mauremys mutica (yellowpond turtle), 1299 nucleotides. RefSeq lists it as uncharacterized. Lineage: Eukaryota; Metazoa; Chordata; Testudines; Geoemydidae. The record is from RefSeq and is a predicted model, not a curated record. The transcript has 6 exons.